UUCUAUGUAAUUCCUCCCUGUGUAUGUGAAUUGACUAUUAUGCCCUUAGAGGCAAGUGACGUGGACGUGCUUAUAUUGCUUUUAUUUUAUUCCUCACUAUCGCUUUUAAAUUGUACACGUUGUUGGAUGAGUACGAGAAUUUUUAUCAGUGUGAAAACACUAUUUCGGAUAGAUUUUCGAUUCUCUUUUCUGUACAAAAUCUAAACCCUAUCCUUGGUUUUCUUUAAAGCCAACCCGUGCACUCCCCAUUAUUUCACUCCCUCACCAAUCAACUCCCUCAAAUCUCUCAACAAUCCCAUCCAUUCCCUCAUCACGGCACCCGAUCAGAAAAAGCAAAAGAAAAAGCUCUCUCUCUCCCGUAUACUCUCUUACCAUAAACAGACCUCAAAGCUUGCAGAUCGAACCUAAAAACCACUUCCUUGUGCUAAUGUCACCUCCACGAGCACAACCAUACCUUUAAAACUCAGUUUGGACGAGUUUUGUACGUCGAACUCAUGAGGUCCGACUCGGUUUGAUUUUUGUCCAACAAGUUAUGAGCGAGUUACAAGUUUUUAGGAACUUUGAAGGCCUCUAUUCAACUCCCCGAGGUCCUUAGUGAAGUUUAGGUGAAGAAACAACGUUGAAACAACCGAGUUUCGAGGAGUUCACUUUUGGUUGGAACUUUUGAGGUGAUUACUGACCACCUCCGUCCACUUUUUGGACUCCAAAAAGAAACCGGCGAGAUUCGAGUUACAAAUGGCGGUGCCGGAGGCGGAGGAUAGCGGUGGACAACGGAACUUGCCGGAGAAGACAGGGAAUAUUCCGUCAAAGUUGACGGAAUAUUCUAACGGCGUUAGGUAACACCGUUAAUCUCUGUUAAGGUUUUAACGGAAUAUUCCUAACGGUGUCAGUCACAUUAACAGCACGUGGGGAUGCAUCUGGCCGUGCCUUGGCAGGCGCGUGAGGGCAUGUGCAGGGUCCAAAAAUUUAUAUAAAAAUUUGUGCAGCGGAAACAUAUUCCGAAGACGUACGGGGCUAGGAUAGACUCGGGGGCUACGACCCUGCAACGGACUUGACCUAGAUAGCUACUCUUUAUGGCAUUCGAGGAAUCUCGGCAGUUCUGACAUUCUCUUUGGUUUAGAAGUAUAAACUUAUCCAUUGUUGUGUAAUAAGUGUACUUUAGCUGCUUUGAACUACUCUUCGGUAGUCGUACUGUCUAUUAUGCUCUGAAUAAUUAUAGUGGAUUAUUCCCACAAAUGCGCACUCUUUCACUAUUUAGUAUAAU
Malus domestica (apple) is the source of this 1264-nucleotide non-coding RNA. NCBI's taxonomy places the organism in Eukaryota, Viridiplantae, Streptophyta, Magnoliopsida, Rosales, Rosaceae. The record is from RefSeq and is a predicted model, not a curated record.